GAUGAAGAACGUAGCGAAAUGCGAUAAGUAAUGUGAAUUGCAGAAUUCAGUGAAUCAUCGAAUCUUUGAACGCACAUUGCGCCCGCCAGUAUUCUGGCGGGCAUGCCUGUUCGAGCGUCAUUACAACCCUCAGGCCCCCGGGCCUGGCGUUGGGGAUCGGCGGAAGCCCCCUGCGGGCACAACGCCGUCCCCCAAAUACAGUGGCGGUCCCGCCGCAGCUUCCAUUGCGUAGUAGCUAACACCUCGCAACUGGAGAGCGGCGCGGCCACGCCGUAAAACACCCAACUUCUGGAUGUUGACCUCGAAUCAGGUAGGAAUACCCGCUGAACUUAAGCAUAUCAAUAAGCGGAGGA
Molecule: unclassified non-coding RNA, 353 nt
Filed under: soil metagenome
Description: partial contains 5.8S ribosomal RNA, internal transcribed spacer 2, and large subunit ribosomal RNA
Rfam family: 5.8S ribosomal RNA (bases 1-120)
Source: RNAcentral